UGGACCACGCUGGAAUCCACCUUCAGACGAGACUUGUACAAGGACUAAGAGGCUAGCGAGGCCAACGCUCCGUCAAGAUUCAAGAACGUUUCGCGAGGAACAACUCUACGCACGAUAUGUGAAGAAGUUUGGCCGAGACCUCAACCCGAAGGCGGAGAUCCGAGAAUCGUCUGAGAACGGGACCUAAUUUAAGAAAAUCGAUAUUUUUGGACACCUCACGGGCAAAGAAACCUAACAAAAAGGCAUGCGUUAACCAGGAGCGCGAGACAUCGGUCAAGGGCGAGCGUGAUGGAGACGGGGAUUGUCAUAGAGGAAUGGGUUGUCCCGGGGCGUCAAUCCAAUCUUUAUUUUGUAUUUACAUUCUUUCGAAAUUUAUUUUCAAACUAUCAAGUGUUCUGUUUGUUUGUCGUUCAAAACUUUAUUGGAAUUUUAAGGAUUUUUUUUUUCUA
Molecule: long non-coding RNA, 449 nt
Organism: Cucurbita maxima (winter squash)
Lineage: Eukaryota; Viridiplantae; Streptophyta; Magnoliopsida; Cucurbitales; Cucurbitaceae
Exons: 4
Source: RefSeq, a predicted model, not a curated record